GGUUUUCCUAAAUUCUCAUGGGCAUAGAAAUCAUGUUUUAAGAAAGGGGUUUUUGAAUUCAUGUACAUAUUUAUGUUUUAGAAGCUUUAAAUGAUAUUGUUUUAGCCUUUUGGCUUUCCCCCAAAGUGACUUAAAAAUUAUAUGUAUAUGUAUAUAUGUGUUUUGCCUUGAAAUAUGAAUUGAGAGCACGAUUUAUAUGAAAUCCCUCUCUUGAUGUAAUUUU
This 223-nucleotide long non-coding RNA is filed under the name Capsicum annuum. RNAcentral describes it as "long non-coding RNA (CANN_LNC009424)". The record is from RNAcentral. Lineage: Eukaryota; Viridiplantae; Streptophyta; Magnoliopsida; Solanales; Solanaceae.